RNAcentral lists this long non-coding RNA (1315 nucleotides) under Equus caballus (horse). RNAcentral's name for it is "lncRNA (ENSECAG00000058806.1)". Lineage: Eukaryota; Metazoa; Chordata; Mammalia; Perissodactyla; Equidae. The record is from RNAcentral.
UCAUUUCAGCUUCAUUUGGCUCCUUUCUAAUUCAUUACUUAUUUAUAAAAAUAGCAUGUAUUAUAUGUCAAUAACGGUAAAAAGUGAUUUAGGGUGACUUUUUUAUAAAACCUCUUUUUGGGGCCAGCCUGGUGAAACAGCAGUUAAGUUUGCACAUUCUGCUUCGGCGGCCCAGGGUUCACCAGUCUGGAUCCCAGGUGCAGACCUACACACCGUUUGUCAAGCCAUGCUGUGGCAGGCGUCCCACAUAUAAAGUAGAGGAAGAUGGGCGUGGAUGUUAGCUCAGGGCCAGUCUUCCUCAGCAAAAAGAGGAGGAUUGGCAGCAGAUGUUAACUCAGGGCUAAUCUUUCUCAAAAAAAUAAAAAUAAGUAAAUAAAAAACCUCUUUUUAUUUUUCUGCAUGACUUAAACUCAUUAUAAUGAGCAACUGUUAUACUUACAAAAUCAAUAAAGUAAUUUUUCUUUUAAAAAUGAACAAAGAUAAAAACAAGGAGACAUUUAAUUUGUUUAACAAACGGAUGUCAAGCUCAAUAAAAAAGUGUUGUAAUUUAAUUAUUUCUCAGACAAGAUUUUCUCUGCACUUGGAUAGAUCUCAUCUCCAAAUUCCAGAUAAGCACUCCCUUUCGAAAAUCCUUUGAUUCUGUAAACAGAAUUUAGCAUGCAGAAUAAGUCUUAGCACUUAAAUUACUGACUUGGCUGCAAAAUCAACAGCAUAGAUGGGAUCCAGGAUUGGAGCCAGAGGAAAUGAUGAGAGUUUGAGACAGAAAUUAUUACAUCAUAAUACGAAUGCAAAAAAUUCCUUCUACUUUUACAAAACCAUCUUUUGUUCUGUUUCCUCUGCUUCUACCUGUAGCCAUUUCAGUUAGAUCCCCAUUUCUUUGGGAGGGGCUGGUUUUUACAAAUGCUUUCCUCAUGUACAGAGGUGUAACGUUUCAGGUUCAAAACAAUUCUUACAGAACAUGAACUCCAGAACCACAUAUGCUUUUAAAAAGUUACAUUCAUACAGUCAACUGCAUAACAAUUUUCUUCACAACCUUAUUAGAAUUUUCAGUACUUUACAUGGAUUCCCUAAAGUCAAAAGGUUUGGGUGAGGGCUGGCGGGGUGGCGCAGCGGUUAAGUGCGCACAUUCCGCUUCAGUGGCGUGGGGUUCGGUAGUUCGGGAUCCCGGCUGCGGACAUGGCACCACUUGGCAAGCCACGCUGUGGUAGGCGUCCCACAUAUACAGUAGAGGAAGAUGGGCAUGGAUGUUAGCUCAGGGCCAGUCUUCCUCAGUGAAAAGAGGAUUGGCAGCAGUUAGCUCAGCGCUAAUCUUCCU